Molecule: ribosomal RNA, 274 nt
Filed under: uncultured bacterium
Lineage: Bacteria
Description: partial 16S ribosomal RNA
Rfam family: Bacterial small subunit ribosomal RNA
Source: RNAcentral
AUACGGAGGGUGCGAGCGUUACUCGGAAUCACUGGGCGUAAAGCGCGCGCAGGCGGCUAUUUAAGUUGGAUGUGAAAGCCUACGGCUCAACCGUAGAACUGCAUCCAAAACUAUUUAGCUAGAGUGUGGGAGAGGAAGAUGGAAUUAGUUGUGUAGGGGUAAAAUCCGUAGAGAUAACUAGGAAUACCAAAAGCGAAGGCAAUCUUCUGGAACACUACUGACGCUGAGGCGCGAAAGCGUGGGGAGCAAACGGGAUUAGAAACCCUAGUAGUCC